UUAUGCUUGCGCACAUGAACCGCUUCCUGUCCGCCCUUCGACGUCGCCGCUCGCCGCUCCGCCCGGAUGCCGCCGGCUCGUCACGGACUCGCGCGUAACCCCCACACCGCUUCACCGGUUACGCACAAGCUGUUCGACCCACCAGCCACGGCCUUCCGUGGCUUUUUU
Non-coding RNA from Mumia flava, 168 nucleotides. NCBI's taxonomy places the organism in Bacteria, Bacillati, Actinomycetota, Actinomycetes, Propionibacteriales, Nocardioidaceae. The record is from Rfam.